RNAcentral lists this ribosomal RNA (468 nucleotides) under uncultured bacterium. RNAcentral describes it as "partial 16S ribosomal RNA". It matches the Rfam family "Bacterial small subunit ribosomal RNA", at positions 28 to 507 of the family's 1533-position model. The record is from RNAcentral.
GACGAACGCUGGCGGCGUGCUUAACACAUGCAAGUCGAACGGAAAGGCCCUGCUUUUGUAGUGUGCUCGAGUGGCGAACGGGGGAGUAACACGGGAGGAACCUCCCCUUGACUUUGGGAUAACGUCAGGGAACUGGGGCGAAUACAGGAUAGGAACUCCUGCAGCAUGUUGUGGGUUGGAAAGUUUCGGCGGUUGGGGAUGUUCUCGCGGCAUAUCAGCUUGUUGGUGGGGUAGUGGCUUACCAGGGCAUUGACGGGUAGCCGACCUGAGAGGGGGGCCGGCCACAUUGGGACUGAGAUACGGCCCAGACUCCUACGGUAGGCAGCGGUGGAGAAUAUUACACAGUAGGCGGACGCCAGAUGCGACGACGCCGCGUGCGGGAAAACGGGCUUCGAGUUGUAAACCAAUUUCGUCUGUGAUGAAGCGUGAUUGACGGUAAUGGAUAAGAAAGCACCGGCUAACUACGUG